RNAcentral lists this ribosomal RNA (399 nucleotides) under Triticum aestivum (bread wheat). Its description in RNAcentral is "partial small subunit ribosomal RNA". Lineage: Eukaryota; Viridiplantae; Streptophyta; Magnoliopsida; Poales; Poaceae. The record is from RNAcentral.
UCUAAUUUGAUCGCCUGGAGUGCUCGGAAACAGGCUACUGUGUCACGUAGUAGUACUGAAGCUGAGUACAAGGCUGUGGCUAAUGCUACUGCAGAGAUUAUUUGGGUGCAGUCUUUGCUUCAGGAGUUGGGUUUGUCUCAACCACAGCCUCCUAUUCUUUGGUGUGAUAACAUCGGUGCUACAUACCUUUCUGCAAAUCCAGUAUUUCAUGCCCGAAUGAAACACAUUGAAGUUGACUAUCACUUUGUACGGGAACGUGUAUCACAGAAGCAACUCCAGAUCAAGUUUAUCUCAUCUAAGGAUCAACUUGCAGACAUCUUCACUAAGCCUUUACCGCUGCCACAGUUUGAGGCUUGUAGGCGCAAUCUUACCCUUCUCAGUUCUUUAGAAAGUGGCUAA